RNAcentral lists this transfer RNA (69 nucleotides) under Schistocephalus solidus. It matches the Rfam family "tRNA". Rfam says of the family: Transfer RNA (tRNA) molecules are approximately 80 nucleotides in length. Their secondary structure includes four short double-helical elements and three loops (D, anti-codon, and T loops). Lineage: Eukaryota; Metazoa; Platyhelminthes; Cestoda; Diphyllobothriidea; Diphyllobothriidae. The record is from Rfam by way of RNAcentral.
GAGCAUGUGGCUCAAUGGUAGAGCGUUCGACUCAAAUACCAAAGGUCGCGGGUUCGGAUCCCAGGUUUU